Molecule: long non-coding RNA, 1677 nt
Filed under: Citrus x clementina
Lineage: Eukaryota; Viridiplantae; Streptophyta; Magnoliopsida; Sapindales; Rutaceae
Description: Citrus clementina (C. clementina) long non-coding RNA (CCLE_LNC005939)
Source: RNAcentral
UUUUGGGUGUGGCUGUACCCGCAGCCUAUUUUUGGCACACGGAGGCACCUCGCAAAGUCUCGCGCCAUUCCGAGUCCGGCGGACGAAGUUCGCCAGCCCCACCCCCCAAUGCUAUAGCCCAACCGUUUUUGUGGCCUUUUUCCGCUGCACGAACUUGGCGCCCCGGCCUUCGGGCGGUUAUUUUUGGGCACGGCUGUGCCCGCAGCCUAUUCUUGGCACACGGAGGUGCCUCGUAAAGUCUCGCGCCAUUCCGAGUCCGGCGGACGAAGUUGGCGAGCCCCACCCCCCAAGGCUAUAGCCCACCCGUUUUUGUGGCCUUUUUCCGCUGCACGAACUUGGCGCCCCGGCCUUCGGGCGGUUAUUUUUGGGCGCUGCUGUGCCCGCAGCCUAUUUUUUGCAAACGGAGGCGCCUUGCAAAGUCUCGCGCCAUUCCGAGACCGGCGGACGAAGUUCGCCCGCCCCACUCCCCAAUGCUAUAGCCCACCCGUUUUUGUGGCCUUUUUUGGCAGGACGAACUUGGCGCCCCGGCCUUCGGGCAGUUAUUUUUGGGCGCGGCUGUGCCCACUUCCUAUUUUUGGCACACGGAGGUGCCUCGCAAAUUAUCGCGCCAAUCCGAGUCCGGCGGACGAAGUUCGCCAGCCCCACUCCCCAACGCUAUAGCCGAUCCAUUUUUGUGGGUUUUUUCCGCUGGACGAACUUGGCGCCCCGGCCUUCGGGCGGUUAUUUUUGGGCGCGGCUGUGCCCGCGGCCUAUUUUUGGCACACGGAAGCCCCUCGCAAAGUAUCGCUGCUUUCCGAGUCCGGCGGAUGAAGUUGGCCAGCCCCACCCCCCAAUGCUAUAGCCCACCCGUUUUUGUGUCCUUUUUCUGCUGGACGAACAUGGCGCCCCGGCCUUCGGGAGGUUAUUUUUGGGCGCGGCUGUGCCCGUGGCCUAUUUUUGUCACACGGAGGCACCUCACAAAGUCUCGCGCCAUUCCGAGUCCGGCGGAUGAAGUUGGCCAGCCCCACCCCCCAAGGCUAUAGCCCACCCGUUUUUGGGGCCUUUUUCCGCUGGACGAACUUGGCAUCCCGGCCUUCAGGCGGUUCUUUUUAGGCGCUGCUGUCCCCGCGGCCUAUUUUUGGCACAAGGAGGCACCUCGCAAAGUCUCGCACCAUUCCGAGUCCGGUGGACGAAUUUGGCCAGCCCCACCCCCAAGGCUAUAGCCCACCCGUUUUUGUGGCCUUUUUCCGCAGGACGAACUUGGCGCCCCGGCCUUCGGGCGGUUAUUUUUGGGCGCGGCUGUGCCCACAGCCUAUUUUUGGUACACGGAGGGGCCUCGCAACAUCUCGCGCCAUUCCGAGUCCGACGGACGUAGUUGGCCAGCACCACCCCCCAAGGCUAUAGCCCACCUGUUUUUGUGGACUUUUUCCGCUGGACGAACUUGGCGUCCCGGCCUUCGCGAGGUUAUUUUUGGGCGCGGCUGUUCCCGUAGCCUAUUUUUGGCACACGGAGGUGCCUCGCAAAGUCUCGCGCCAUUCCGAGUCCGGCAGACGAAGUUGGCCAGCCCCACCUCCCAAGGCUAUAGCCCACCGGUUUUUGUGGCCUUUUUCCGCUGGACGAACUUGGUGCCCUGGCCUUCAGGUGGUUAUUUUUGGGCGCGACUGUGCCCGCGGCCUAUUUUUAGGACACAGAGGUGCC